Molecule: long non-coding RNA, 279 nt
Filed under: Trifolium pratense (red clover)
Lineage: Eukaryota; Viridiplantae; Streptophyta; Magnoliopsida; Fabales; Fabaceae
Description: long non-coding RNA (TPRA_LNC008922)
Source: RNAcentral
UAACAAAAUCUAUCUAAAGGUAAUCCUAGUCUAUUGUGAUUGAAAUCAUUCCAAAUAUAUAAAGGUAAACCUAUUUUUACCUAGUCUGUUUUAAUUGAAAUGAUUCCAAAUCUAUAUAAAGGUAAACCUAAUCAGCAGCUGCUUAUUCAUUGAUGUCUUUUAACAGACCUAAUGUUCAAACCACUUUCAAGAGUAGAAGUACAAACUUUGUAUCAAGCCACUGUGACAAUUUUCCUGCUAUUAGUGUCACCUGCCAUAAUGAAUUCCUUAUUCAUUUGU